This 403-nucleotide ribosomal RNA is filed under the name uncultured bacterium. RNAcentral describes it as "bacterial SSU rRNA". It matches the Rfam family "Bacterial small subunit ribosomal RNA", at positions 355 to 776 of the family's 1533-position model. The record is from RNAcentral.
UGGAGAAUCUUGCACAAUGGGCGAAAGCCUGAUGCAGCAACGCCGCGUGAAGGAUGAAGGCCCUUGGGUCGUAAACUUCUGUUCUAAGGGAAGAUAGUGACGGUACCUUAGGAGCAAGUCCCGGCUAACUACGUGCCAGCAGCCGCGGUAAUACGUAGGGGGCGAGCGUUAUCCGGAAUUAUUGGGCGUAAAGAGUACGUAGGUGGUUUCCUAAGCGAGGGGUUUAAGGCAAUGGCUUAACCAUUGUUCGCCCCCCGAACUGGGUUACUUGAGUGCUGGAGGGGAAAGCGGAAUUCCUAGUGUAGCGGUGAAAUGCGUAGAUAUUAGGAGGAACACCAGUGGCGAAGGCGGCUUUCUGGACAGUAACUGACACUGAGGUACGAAAGUGUGGGGAGCAAACAGG